RNAcentral lists this ribosomal RNA (445 nucleotides) under uncultured bacterium. RNAcentral describes it as "bacterial SSU rRNA". It matches the Rfam family "Bacterial small subunit ribosomal RNA", at positions 330 to 793 of the family's 1533-position model. The record is from RNAcentral.
CCCAGACUCCUACGGGAGGCAGCAGUGGGGAAUAUUGGACAAUGGGGGGAACCCUGAUCCAGCGACGCCGCGUGAGUGAAGAAGUAUUUCGGUAUGUAAAGCUCUAUCAGCAGGGAAGAAAAUGGCGGUACCUGACUAAGAAGCCCCGGCUAACUACGUGCCAGCAGCCGCGGUAAUACGUAGGGGGCAAGCGUUAUCCGGAUUUACUGGGUGUAAAGGGAGCGUAGACGGUGCAGCAAGUCUGAUGUGAAAGGUCGGGGCCCAACCCCGGGACUGCAUUGGAAACUGUGCAGCUAGAGUGCAGGAGAGGUAAGUGGAAUUCCUAGUGUAGCGGUGAAAUGCGUAGAUAUUAGGAGGAACCCCAGUGGCGAAGGCGGAUUGCUGGACAGUAACUGACGCUGAGGCGCGAAAGCGUGGGAGCAAACAGGAUUAGAUACCCCAGUAA